UAUGGCUAUAUCAUGUUGAAACAUUGGACCCCAUACAAUCACCAAAGUUAAGCAAUGUUGAACCUGGUCAGUACCAAGAUGGAUGAUCAUUUGGGAAUACCAGGUGCUGUAAG
Acanthosepion pharaonis is the source of this 113-nucleotide non-coding RNA. Lineage: Eukaryota; Metazoa; Mollusca; Cephalopoda; Sepiida; Sepiidae. The record is from the annotation of a GenBank genome assembly.